Long non-coding RNA from Xenia sp. Carnegie-2017, 328 nucleotides. RefSeq lists it as uncharacterized. The transcript has 2 exons. The record is from RefSeq and is a predicted model, not a curated record. Lineage: Eukaryota; Metazoa; Cnidaria; Anthozoa; Malacalcyonacea; Xeniidae.
ACUGAUUUAGGGUUAGAGAAUAUUGAAGUUGCUCGAUUUAUGCUUCAAUAUCGUGGUCUGAAUAGAGGCAGCUGCAUAACAGGUAAUUCCAAUUCCAAUGGACAUGUGUUAGCAUUGGGGUAAAUGAAUGUAUUUUGAAGAAUAGUUAUACUCGAUGGAUGAAAACCCAUUGGAGGUAAGGAUUUGCAACCAGUUGAAAACAUCAAAACACUAGGAAUUCUAGAACCUGUAAUAAUUAAAGUAUAUUAACAUCAUGAUUUAAAGAAUGUUGCCAAAACAACAACAUGUACAAAUUCUAAAAAAAUAUAACAUACUUUGUGAUGAAAGA